This 2014-nucleotide long non-coding RNA is filed under the name Marmota monax (woodchuck). The record is from RNAcentral. Lineage: Eukaryota; Metazoa; Chordata; Mammalia; Rodentia; Sciuridae.
UAGGUUUCAGCGCUCAUAAUCUAGUCAUUUCUCCUCUGAAUAUUCCUGCAUUAAUGGGAGCCUUCGGGGGACACUUCAUAUUCAAAGCACAACACUAGGCACUAGUAAUUUUUUAGCUCCCUUAUAAUCAUAUGAGGCCACCAUCAUACAUAAAAUCUUUCUUUAGCCAAAAUGUCAUUAUAUAGCAUGAUGAUAAUAUGUUAUAGUUUUUGACAUUUAAAAAAAAAAGUGGGGGGGUGGCUUUCCAGCUGGAAGAGACUACCCAUUUCUGGGCUCACAAAGGACUCAGCCAGGAUCAUGGUUCAAAGGUAACUGUGUAGAUAGACCUACUAAUCAAGAACAAUAUCUCCUCUAUGUGGUUCUGACAUCCCAGGGACUAGUUUUUCUGUACCUGGAUUAUCUCAGAGUCAGAUGCUAGUCAAACUAGGGAUUCCUCCUGGAGCUUAGAGCACACAGAAAUUAUUUAAACUAGCCAACCCUACACUGUUUUCCAGGACCUUCCUUGACUUUUCUGCAGAAAUCAUAGUUUAGACUCUGGCCUAAAUCUUCUGCUAGCUCCUAUCUUAUGCCUCCUUACAACCUGGUGUCUUUCUCAUGUGGUCCUGGGUGGCAUGACUGUCUCUACAACCUGUGAAUAUAAAAAAAAAUUGUUUUUGAGUUCCUCCUGUAUCUCCUUUCAGGGCCACACUUGGCUGACCAUCUCAUAAAAGAUACAAACCAGAGUGAGCUUGGACAUGUUCCUGAGGUCAAAGGGAAGAUUCUACCAAAUGCCAAAAGCAAGAGAAAAACAACCAGGGCUGGGGAUGUGGCUCAAGCGGUAGCGCGCUCGCCUGGCAUGCGCGAGGCCCGGGUUCGAUCCUCAGCACCACAUACAAAGAUGUUGUGUCUGCUGAGAACUAAAAAAUAAAUAUUAAAAAAUUCUCUCUCUCCCUCUCUCUCUCUCUCUCUCAAAAAAAAAAAAAAAUGGGCCCACUGUGCUGAAGCCCACAGGCUUUCUAAAAAAAAAAAAAAAAGAGAGAGAGAGAGAAGAGCAACCAUUGGUUUAAAGGAAAACCAUCAAUGUUAUUCUCAUGCUGGAAAUUUGACUGUUAAAUGUUUCUCAACAGUUUUACAGUUUUCUUCCUCAAAAAGCCACAAAGCUAGUAAUUGGUAAGGAAGGAUUUGGUGGGCUUGGUUCUAUAGCAAAAAGGGUAUUGCCUAUUUCUCUAAUCUUCAGAAUGACCUAAAAAGAAUCAUACUGAUGCAAAACAGAGUUGCUAGAAAAACCCUUAUCAUGAGUCCAGGACAAGGUGAAUUCCUGUCUGUCUGAAAAUUCCCUUCUCUUCAUAAGAACUUUUCAAACACUGCUGAGAAGAGUGUUUGACCCAUCUACAUUUCCUGCCACAACCUUUCCUGACUAAUUUCAUGAAGGUAUUGAAGUUGGGAUGCUAAGACAGUGCUGAAGUGGGAAUAAACUAAAGGAUGAUCAUCCUAACACCAGACUCAAAAUCUAUACUUCCUACCCACAAACACAUGUUUUUUUCAGAAAUUCUCUGAAUGAAAUGUAGGCAGUUAAUCAUUUCCUGGGAGAAUACCUUUUGACCAAUUCCCAAACAUGAUUGAUAGUAUUUCUCUGUCAAUAUGACAUUUUUCACCAAUAUUUAUGUAAGAAAAAAUGUUCUCCUCUACAUUUGUCUUUAAAGCUCAGUACCACAUAUUAAACAAAACAAUGUACAUUUUAAAAAUCUCAGUUACUAUCCUCUUGAUAAGAUAUAAGAAUCACAAGAAAAGAGCUCUAGUGCCAAGCAAGCGGUCAUGCAAAUUGUGUGUUACUAACACUAAAAGAUCACAUUAACUGCCUACAAAGCAAGGACUUUAAUAUCUAUAUCAAGUUUUUGGUGACCAAGGAAUGAUGUGUUAAAUAUUUCUACAUCCUCACACGACAGAUUAUUUGUUAUAUAUAGUAUUCUUCUGUGUUCGACCACAUCUUAGGAAAUUGACUCAGAGUUUGGGGUUAAUUUGCAGUAUGAUACCA